ACGAUUGUUUACUAGGGUUCCGCCGGUUGUUCCAACGCCGGGCUGGUCCGAGAGUAAACCGCUCUUCUCGAAGGGCGACACGGAAGGAUAAAAACCUGGGAGAU
Molecule: small RNA, 104 nt
Filed under: Paenibacillus ferrarius
Lineage: Bacteria; Bacillati; Bacillota; Bacilli; Caryophanales; Paenibacillaceae
Description: Guanidine-I sequence
Rfam family: Guanidine-I riboswitch aptamer
About the family: This family represents a conserved RNA structure found upstream of the ykkC and yxkD genes in Bacillus subtilis and related genes in other bacteria. The function of this family is unclear although it has been suggested that it may function to switch on efflux pumps and detoxification systems in response to harmful environmental molecules.
Source: Rfam by way of RNAcentral